AGUGAACGCUGGCGGUAGGCCUAACACAUGCAAGUCGAACGGCAGCACAGUAAGAGCUUGCUCUUACGGGUGGCGAGUGGCGGACGGGUGAGGAAUACAUCGGAAUCUACUUUUUCGUGGGGGAUAACGUAGGGAAACUUACGCUAAUACCGCAUACGACCUACGGGUGAAAGCAGGGGAUCUUCGGACCUUGCGCGAUUGAAUGAGCCGAUGUCGGAUUAGCUAGUUGGCGGGGUAAAGGCCCACCAAGGCGACGAUCCGUAGCUGGUCUGAGAGGAUGAUCAGCCACACUGGAACUGAGAAACGGUCCCGACUCCUACGGGAGGCAGCAGUGGGGAAUAUUGGACAAUGGGCGCAAGCCUGAUCCAGCCAUACCGCGUGGGUGAAGAAGGCCUUCGGGUUGUAAAGCCCUUUUGUUGGGAAAGAAAAGCAGCAGGUUAAUACCCCGCUGUUCUGACGGUACCCAAAGAAUAAGCACCGGCUAACUUCGUG
RNAcentral lists this ribosomal RNA (492 nucleotides) under uncultured bacterium. Its description in RNAcentral is "partial 16S ribosomal RNA". It matches the Rfam family "Bacterial small subunit ribosomal RNA", at positions 29 to 507 of the family's 1533-position model. The record is from RNAcentral.